CCUUUUGAAUAUCUCACCCCCAUGGCAUGAACAAUAUUUAUUAUCCAGUAAAUACAACAAAAGCUUUAAAUAAUAUACACCAAGUGCAUCCUCAGUGAAUUGAUUGGAAACCAGCCAAAAAAAAUAUUUGACUAUUUACCAUUGUUUGGCACACAUGUGUUAAUUCCUCUGACAGUAUCUGAUCUCACAAAGUGGGAAGAACGAACAGUCCAGGAGAGCAGCAACCAGUGAGGUGUCAGCAGCAGAACGAACUUGCAACGGCAGCAAGGAGUUAGAGCGAGGGAUUCGCACGCGCACG
Molecule: long non-coding RNA, 298 nt
Filed under: Oryza brachyantha (malo sina)
Lineage: Eukaryota; Viridiplantae; Streptophyta; Magnoliopsida; Poales; Poaceae
Description: long non-coding RNA (OBRA_LNC001861)
Source: RNAcentral